This 275-nucleotide ribosomal RNA is filed under the name uncultured bacterium. RNAcentral describes it as "partial 16S ribosomal RNA". It matches the Rfam family "Archaeal small subunit ribosomal RNA", at positions 473 to 747 of the family's 1478-position model. The record is from RNAcentral.
ACACCAGCGCCACGAGUGGCAAUCGCGUUUAUUGGGCCUAAAGCGUCCGUAGCCUGUUUAGAAAGUCUCUUGUGAAAUCGUUGGGCUUAACUCAGCGGCUUGCAGGAGAUACUACUAGGCUUGAGACCGGGAGGAGUCAGAGGUAUUCUGUGGGGAGCGGUAAAAUGCUAUAAUCCAUGGAGGACCACCGAUGGCGAAGGCAUCUGACUAGAACGGAUCUGACGGUGAGGGACGAAAGCCAGGGGAGCAAACCGGAUUAGAAACCCGAGUAGUCC